Molecule: ribosomal RNA, 889 nt
Filed under: uncultured Methanosaeta sp.
Lineage: Archaea; Methanobacteriati; Methanobacteriota; Methanomicrobia; Methanotrichales; Methanotrichaceae
Description: bacterial SSU rRNA
Rfam family: Archaeal small subunit ribosomal RNA
Source: RNAcentral
CAGAGGUUACUGCUAUCGAGAUUCGACUAAGCCAUGCGAGUUGAAUGUUCUUCGUGAACAUGGCGGACUGCUCAGUAACACGUGGACAACCUACCCUUGGGUCCGGCAUAAUCCUGGGAAACUGGGAAUAAUUCCGGAUAGGUCACCGAUGCUGGAAUGCGCGGUGGCCGAAAGCUCCGGCGCCCGAGGAUGGGUCUGCGGCCUAUCAGGGUUGUAGUGGGUGUAACGUACCUACUAGCCUACGACGGGUACGGGUUGUGAGAGCAAGAGCCCGGAGAUGGAUUCUGAGACACGAAUCCAGGCCCUACGGGGUGCAGCAGGCGCGAAAACUUUACAAUGCGGGAAACCGUGAUAAGGGGAUCUCGAGUGCCAGCAUAUAAUGUUGGCUGUCCAGAUGCCUAAAAAGCAUCUGUUAGCAAGGGCCGGGCAAGACCGGUGCCAGCCGCCGCGGUAACACCGGCGGCCCGAGUGGUAACCGCUAUUAUUGGGUCUAAAGGGUCUGUAGCCGGCCAGGUAAGUCCCUUGGGAAAUCUGGCAGCUCAACUGUCAGGCUGCUAGGGGAUACUGUUUGGCUUGGGACCGGGAGAGGUGAGAGGUACCUUGGGGGUAGGGGUGAAAUCUUGUGAUCCUCGAGGGACCACCAGUGGCGAAGGCGUCUCACCAGAACGGGUCCGACGGUAAGGGACGAAAGCUAGGGGCACGAACCGGAUUAGAUACCCGGGUAGUCCUAGCCGUAAACGAUGCUCGCUAGGUGUCAGUCACGGUGCGACCGUGAUUGGUGCCGUAGGGAAGCCGUGAAGCGAGCCACCUGGGAAGUAUGGCCGCAAGGCUGAAACUUAAAGGAAUUGGCGGGGGAGCACUACAWCGGRUGGAGCCUGCGGUUUAAUUG